This 345-nucleotide unclassified non-coding RNA is filed under the name soil metagenome. Its description in RNAcentral is "partial contains 5.8S ribosomal RNA, internal transcribed spacer 2, and large subunit ribosomal RNA". The stretch from base 1 to 120 matches the Rfam family "5.8S ribosomal RNA", at positions 35 to 154 of the family's 154-position model. The record is from RNAcentral.
GAUGAAGAACGUAGCGAAAUGCGAUACGUAAUGUGAAUUGCAGAAUUCAGUGAAUCAUCGAGUCUUUGAACGCACAUUGGGCCCCCUGGUAUUCCGGGGGGCAAGCCUGUCCGAGCGUCAUUGCUGCCCUCAAGCACGGCUUGUGUGUUGGGCCUCCGUCCUCCUCCCGGGGGACGGGCCCGAAAGGCAGCGGCGGCACCGCGUCCGGUCCUCGAGCGUAUGGGGCUUCGUCACCCGCUCUUGUAGGCCCGGCCGGCGCUUGCCGACACAUCAAUCUUUUUUCCAGGUUGACCUCGGAUCAGGUAGGGAUACCCGCUGAACUUAAGCAUAUCAAUAAGCGGAGGA